UAUUAAUAGAAUUGUUUUAAUURUAAUAUUUUUAUUAAUUUGAAUUAAAUAAAUUAUAGUCAUUGUAUAAUAAAUUGAUUUGAUUGAUAUUACUAUAGUGAAUUAGUAUUUUAAAGUAAAUUUUAAUUUUUUAUAUAAUUAAUAAAAGUUAAUUUUAAUAAUUGUAUCUUGUGUCUCAGAGUAAAUUAAAAUGAAUUAUUUAAUUUUUUUUUCUCGAAUUUAAAAGAGUUAAUUAAAUAUUUUAGUUAUUGUUUCAUAAUUAUUAAUAAUAUUUAAUUAGUAGUGAAAUGUUAUUCGUUUUUAAAGUUAUCUAGUUUUUUAAUAAAUGAAUUUAAUUCAAAAAUUUUAAUUUAAUUGAUAUUUAUAUAUCAAAUUAUUUUAUUAUUUAAAUUUUAAAAGGGAUAAGCUUUUUAAAAAAUAAUUAUAAUAUGUUAUUUAAUUAGAAUUUUAUAAAUUUAGAAUUUGUUAUUAUUUAAAUUAUGUUAAAAUUUAAUUCUUUAUUUUUUAAAUUUUAUAAUUAUUUAAGAUUUAUAUUAAAAUAUAAUUUUUAAUUUUUAAAAAUUAAAAAUUAUGAUUUAAUUAGUAAAUUUAAUAGUAAUUUUUAAUUUUAUUGAAAAUUUAAUAUGAUGAAUUAGGCAAAAAUUUUACUCGCCUGUUUAUUAAAAACAUGUUUUCUUGAUAAUAAUUUAUAAGAAAUUUGACCUGCCCACUGAAAUUUAAUUUAAAGGGCCGCAGUAUUUUGACUGUGCAAAGGUAGCAUAAUCAUUAGUCUUUUAAUUGAAGGCUGGUAUGAAUGGUUGGACGAGGUAUAUUCUAUUUUAUGUUAAUAAAUUUAAUUUAGGGUUUGAGUAAAAAUACUCAAAUGUUAUUAAGGGACGAGAAGACCCUAUAGAGUUUAAUAUUUUAAUUAUUAAUUAAGUUAAUUAAUAAUUAUUAAUUAUUAUGAUAUUUAUUUGAUUGGGGUGAUUAAAAGAUAUAAUAAACUCUUUUUUAUAUUAAAUAUUUUUAUUAAUUAAUUGAUCCAUUUUUUAUGAUUAUAAGAUUAAAUUACCUUAGGGAUAACAGCAUAAUUUUUUUUGAGAGUUCUAAUCAAAAGAAAAGAUUGUGACCUCGAUGUUGGAUUAAGAUAAAUUUUGGGUGCAGAUGUUCAUAAAAUUAGGUCUGUUCGACCUUUAAAAUCUUACAUGAUCUGAGUUUAAACCGGUGUGAGCCAGGUUGGUUUCUAUCUUUAAUUUUUUUAAAAUUUUUUAGUACGAAAGGACCAUAAAUUUAAAAUAAUUUUUUAUUAAUGAAUAUUAUUAAUAUUA
RNAcentral lists this ribosomal RNA (1307 nucleotides) under Mantidae JZ-2017. RNAcentral describes it as "16S ribosomal RNA". The stretch from base 1058 to 1217 matches the Rfam family "Archaeal large subunit ribosomal RNA", at positions 2544 to 2703 of the family's 2987-position model. The record is from RNAcentral. Lineage: Eukaryota; Metazoa; Arthropoda; Insecta; Mantodea; Mantidae.